UACACUCCUGCGGGAGGCAGCAGUGGGGAAUAUUGGACAAUGGGCGCAAGCCUGAUCCAGCCAUGCCGCGUGAGUGAUGAAGGCCCUAGGGUUGUAAAGCUCUUUUGUGCGGGAAGAUAAUGACGGUACCGCAAGAAUAAGCCCCGGCUAACUUCGUGCCAGCAGCCGCGGUAAUACGAAGGGGGCUAGCGUUGCUCGGAAUCACUGGGCGUAAAGGGUGCGUAGGCGGGUCUUUAAGUCAGGGGUGAAAUCCUGGAGCUCAACUCCAGAACUGCCUUUGAUACUGAAGAUCUUGAGUUCGGGAGAGGUGAGUGGAACUGCGAGUGUAGAGGUGAAAUUCGUAGAUAUUCGCAAGAACACCAGUGGCGAAGGCGGCUCACUGGCCCGAUACUGACGCUGAGGCACGAAAGCGUGGGGAGCAAACAGGAUUAGAAACCCUUGUAGUCCCAUG
This 451-nucleotide ribosomal RNA is filed under the name uncultured organism. RNAcentral's name for it is "partial 16S ribosomal RNA". It matches the Rfam family "Bacterial small subunit ribosomal RNA", at positions 332 to 799 of the family's 1533-position model. The record is from RNAcentral.